CCUACGGGCGGCAGCAGUGAGGAAUAUUGGUCAAUGGGCGGAAGCCUGAACCAGCCAAGUAGCGUGCAGGAUGACGGCCCUACGGGUUGUAAACUGCUUUUAUACGGGAAUAACGCGCCUUACGUGUAGAGCUUUGCAUGUACCGUAUGAAUAAGGACCGGCUAAUUCCGUGCCAGCAGCCGCGGUAAUACGGAAGGUCCGGGCGUUAUCCGGAUUUAUUGGGUUUAAAGGGAGCGUAGGCCGCAUGUCAAGCGUGCUGUGAAAUGUCCGGGCUCAACCCGGGCCUUGCAGCGCGAACUGGCGUGCUUGAGUCCGCGGAAGGCAGGCGGAAUUCGUGGUGUAGCGGUGAAAUGCUUAGAUAUGACGAAGAACCCCGAGUGCGAAGGCAGCUUGCUGCAGCGGAACUGACGCUGAUGCUCGAAAGCGCGGGUAUCGAACAGGAUUAGAUACCCCAGUAGUC
Molecule: ribosomal RNA, 460 nt
Filed under: uncultured bacterium
Lineage: Bacteria
Description: partial 16S ribosomal RNA
Rfam family: Bacterial small subunit ribosomal RNA
Source: RNAcentral